Molecule: long non-coding RNA, 489 nt
Filed under: Ornithorhynchus anatinus (platypus)
Lineage: Eukaryota; Metazoa; Chordata; Mammalia; Monotremata; Ornithorhynchidae
Description: lncRNA (ENSOANG00000037574.1)
Source: RNAcentral
AUGCAUCCACAAAUCUCGCUCCAGGAUUUCUCCGGGGUGAAUCCUCUCACUGACCCGCUCUGUUUUAUCUUAAAGGAGGCUUCCAGAGUGAAUCACAGGACCUACGUGGUCAAGCAGAGGAACCAGCCUGCUCUCAGCGAUGCUCCUCAAGGGGAAGACUCGAUCCAGGUGAUUGAAAGGAACUUGGAACAAAUCAAGCUGCUGAACAGAGAGGAAAGAAAAGUCCUGGAAAAGAAACACAAAGCUAAAGGAAGGGGAGGGGUCAAGUUUGAAAUCACUCUACAUUCCGCUCAUGAAAACGCCGCCGGGGAGGAGAUGGAAAACGACACAUUGAACGAAACUCUGACUUUCGUGAGUGGCAAGAAGCUCAAAGAGGAGCUCAGGAAGAUGCAAGUUGACUGUCCAGAAAAAGCUCCUCUAGGACUACUUUGUCCCAAAGCAGGUACCCGUCAGAGAAACAGCUGUGACACCUUUGGGCAAGUCACUUAA